CAGUAGCCGCGGUAAUACGUAGGUGGCGAGCGUUGUCCGGAAUUAUUGGGCGUAAAGGGAGCGCAGGCGGACAUAUAAGUCCAUCUUAAAAGUGCGGGGCUCAACCCCGUGAGGGGAUGGAAACUGUAUGCCUUGAGUGCAGGAGAGGAAAGCGGAAUUCCCAGUGUAGCGGUGAAAUGCGUAGAUAUUGGGAGGAACACCAGUGGCGAAGGCGGCUUUCUGGACUGCAACUGACGCUGAGGCUCGAAAGCCAGGGGAGCGAACGGGAUUAGAUACCCGUGUAGUCCCUGUCUCUUAUACA
This 301-nucleotide ribosomal RNA is filed under the name uncultured bacterium. Its description in RNAcentral is "partial 16S ribosomal RNA". It matches the Rfam family "Bacterial small subunit ribosomal RNA", at positions 509 to 809 of the family's 1533-position model. The record is from RNAcentral.